This 248-nucleotide ribosomal RNA is filed under the name Actinomycetota bacterium. Its description in RNAcentral is "partial 16S ribosomal RNA". It matches the Rfam family "Bacterial small subunit ribosomal RNA", at positions 1 to 245 of the family's 1533-position model. Lineage: Bacteria; Bacillati; Actinomycetota. The record is from RNAcentral.
UAAGUGAAGAGUUUGAUCCUGGCUCAGAGUGAACGCUGGCGGCAGGCCUAACACAUGCAAGUCGAACGGCAGCACAGCAGAGCUUGCUCUGUGGGUGGCGAGUGGCGGACGGGUGAGGAAUACGUCGGAAUCUGCCUAUUUGUGGGGGAUAACGUAGGGAAACUUACGCUAAUACCGCAUACGACCUACGGGUGAAAGCGGAGGACCUUCGGGCUUCGCGCAGAUAGAUGAGCCGACGUCGGAUUAGC